GAUGAACGCUGGCCGAAUGCUUAACACAUGCAAGUCGAACUGUGGCGGACGGGUGAGUAACGCGUACAGAACUUGCCUCACAGGUAGGGACAAAAUAUGGAAACGAAAGCUAAUACCUAAUCCUGUGGGAGAGCUUGGCGUCCCAUUAGCUAGUGGGGGAGGUAACGGGUCAGCAAGGCGAGGAUGGGUAGCCGGCCUGGGAGGGUGAUCGGCCACAAGUGGACGGGGACACGGCCCUUAGUCGUACGGGAGGCAGCAGGGGAAAAUAUUGAACACGGGACCAGAGUCUGAUGCAGCAAUUCUGUGUGCACGAUGAAUUUUUCGGAAUGUAAAGUGCUUUCAGUUGCGAAGCGGUACCAACAGAAGAAGUGACGGCUAAAUACGUGCCAGCCGCCGCGGUAAUAC
Molecule: ribosomal RNA, 405 nt
Filed under: uncultured bacterium
Lineage: Bacteria
Description: partial 16S ribosomal RNA
Rfam family: Bacterial small subunit ribosomal RNA
Source: RNAcentral